This 482-nucleotide ribosomal RNA is filed under the name uncultured bacterium. RNAcentral's name for it is "bacterial SSU rRNA". It matches the Rfam family "Bacterial small subunit ribosomal RNA", at positions 35 to 507 of the family's 1533-position model. The record is from RNAcentral.
GCUGGCGGCAAGCCUUACACAUGCAAGUCGAGCGGUAACAUUUCUAGCUUGCUAGAAGAUGACGAGCGGCGGACGGGUGAGUAAAGCAUAGGAAUCUGGCCAAUAGAGGGGGAUAGCCCGGAGAAAUCCGGAUUAAUACCGCAUACACUCUAUGGAGAAAAAGCAGGGGAUCUUCGGACCUUGCGCUAUUGGAUGAGCCUAUGUCGGAUUAGUUAGUUGGUGGGGUAAAGGCCUACCAAGGCGACGAUCCGUAGCUGGUCUUAGAGGAUGAUCAGCCACAUCGGGACUGAGACACGGCCCGAACUCCUACGGGAGGCAGCAGUGGGGAAUAUUGCACAAUGGGCGCAAGCCUGAUGCAGCUAUGCCGCGUGUGUGAAGAAGGCCUUAGGGUUGUAAAGCACUUUCAGUAGUGAGGAAAAGUGUUGUGUUAACAGCGCAAUGCUGUGACGUUAGCUACAGAAGAAGGACCGGCAAACUCCGUG